UUUUUUAAUUUUAUUUUAUUUAAUAAUAACUUUGUAUUGACAGAAUCCAUGCCAGGAUAAUUUUUACACAACAUUAUCCCUUGCAAUCACUUAUGUUUCGUUUUUUCCCCUCCCUCCCUCCUCCCCCCCCCCCCCAGGAUGGCAAGCAGUCCUAGAUAUGUUAAAUAUGUUGCAGUAUAUCUAGAUACAAUACAUAUUUGCAGAACCGAACAGUUCUCUUGUUGCACAGGGAGAAUUGGAUUCAGAAGGUAAAAAUAACUCGGGAAGAAAAUCAAAAAUGCAAAUAGUUCACAUUCAUUUCCCAGUAUUCCUUCUUUGGGUGUAGCUGUUUCUGUCCAUCAUUUCUCCAAUGAAACUCAGUUAAGUCUCUUUGUCAGAGAAAUCCACUUCCAUCAGAAUACAUCCUCACACAAUAUCGUUGUCGAGGUGUAUAAUGAUCUCCUGGUUCUGCUCAUCUCACUCAGCAUCAGUCCAUGUAGGUCUCUCCAAGCCUCUCUGUAUUCAUCCUGCUGGUCAUUCCUUACAGAGCAAUAAUAUUCCAUAACAUUCAUAUACCACAAUUUACCCAGCCAUUCUCCAAUUGAUGGGCAUCCAUUCAUUUUCCAGUUUCUAGCCACUACAAACAGGGCUGCUACAAACAUUUUGGCACAUACAGGUCCACUUCCCUUUUUUAGUAUCUCUUUGGGGUAUAAGCCCAAUAGAAACACUGCUGGAUCAAAGGGUAUGCACAGUUUGAUAACUUUUUGGGCAUAAUUCCAGAUCGCUCUCCAGAAUGGCUGGAUUCGUUCACAACUCCACCAACAAUGCAUCAGUGUCCCCGUUUUCCCGCAUCCCCUCCAACAUUCAUCAUUAUUUUUUCCUGUCAUCUUAGCCAAUCUGACAGGUGUGUAGUGAUAUCUCAGAGUUGUCUUAAUUUGCAUUUCUCUGAUCAAUAGUGAUUUGGAGCACUCUUUCAUGUGAGUGGUAAUAGUUUCAAGGAAAUAAAAUAUUUAAAUAGUCCUUUUUUGGAAAAAGAAAUUGAACAAGGCAUUAAUAAACUCCUAAGAAAAAAUAUGCAGAGCCACAUAGAUUUGUAAACUAUUUGGCAAAAUAGGUAAGGAAGGAGUGCUUCCAAAUUCCUUCUGUGACACAAAUAUGGCACUGAUACUUAAACUAGGAAGGGCCAAAACAGAGAGAGGUAAUUACACACCAAUCUCCUUAAUGAAUAUUGAUACAAAAUUUUUAAAUAAAAUAUUUGUGAAAAGAUUACAGCAAUUUAUCAGCAGGACAAUACACUAUGAAAAAGUGGGAUUUGUAUGAGGAAUGAAGGGCUAGUUCAGUAUCAGGAAAACUAUUACUAUAAUCAACCAUAUCAAUAACAGAACCAGCAGAAAUCAUAUACUAAUCUCAAUAGAUGCAGAAAAAGCUUUUGACAAGAUACAGCACCCAUUCUUAUUAAAAAUACUAGAAAGCAUAGGAAUGAAGGAAGCUAUACUUAAAAUAGCAAGCAGUAUCUAUCUAAAACCUACAGCAAGCAUUAUUUAUAAUGGAGAGAAGCUGAAUGCAUUCCCAAUAAGAUGAGAGAUGAAACAAGGAUCAUUAUCAUCACUAUUAUUCAACAUUGUACUAGAAAUGUUGCCUUUUGCAAUAAGAAAAGAAAAAAAAAGGUGUUAGAAUAGGCAAUGAGGAAAUAAAACUAUCACUCUUUGCAGACGAUCUGAUGAUAUAAUUAGAUAAUCCUAGAAAAUCAUCCAAAAACCUACGGGGAAAAAAUUCACAGCUUUAGCAAUGUUGCAAAAUAUAAAACAAACCACACAAAUCAUCAGCAUUUCUAUAUAUUACUGACAAAGCCCAUAAGCAAGAAAUGGAAAGAGAAAUUUCAUUUAAAAUUACUGUAGACAAAAUUAAAUACUUGGGGGUCUACCUGCCAAGAGAAAUCUAAGAAAUAUAUGAACACAAUUACAAAACACUUUUCACAAAUAAAAUCAGAUCUAAACAUUUGGAAAAAUUGUCAACUGUUCAUGGCUAGGCUGAGCUAAUAUAAAAAAAAUCCUUCAAAACGUCUGCUUUCUUCAGUGUCUUACUGAAGAUGGCUUCAUCAUCUUCAAAUAAAACUUCCAAAAUAUUAUUUUAUAGGACUAAAAACAAAACAAAACAAAAUUUAUCUGGAAGAACAAAAGGUCAAGAAUAAACAUGGAAUUAAUGAAAAAAGUACAAAAAAUGGUGGCAUAGUGGUAUUAAACCUAAAACUAUAUUAUAAAGUAGCAAUAAUGAAAAUCAUUUGGUACAGGCUAAGAAAUAGAGUGGUGGAUCAGUGGAAUAGAUUAGAUACACAUGGCACAAUAAUCAAAGCCUAUAGCAGUCUGUUAUUUGAUAAAUCCGCAAAGUCCAACUUCUAGAGUAAGAACUCAGUAUUUGACAAAAAUUGCUGGGAAAACUAAGCUUGACAUAGACAUACAUCUCAUACCCCAUGCCAAAAUAGGAUUAAAAUGGAUACAUGAUUUGCACAUAAAGAAUGAUACCAUAAACAAAUUAGGAGAACAAAGGAUAAUUUAUCUAUCAGAUCUUUUGGAGAAGGGAGGAAUUUAUAACCAAAGAACUAGAGAACAUUAUGAAAGGCAAAAUGAACAACUUUGAUUACAUUAAGUUAAAAAGAUUUUACACACAAAAACCCAACAGAAACAAGAUUAAAAGGGAAGUUCAAAGCAAGAAAAAAUCUUUGCAGCCAGUAUUUCUCAGAAAGGUUUCAUUUUUAACAUAUAUAAAGAACUGUAUCAAAUUGACAAGAAUACAUGUAAUUCACAAUUGAUAAAUGUUCAAAGGAUUUGAACAAUUUUCAGAUGAUGAAAUUAAUAUCAUUUAUAGUUAUAUGAAAAAAUGCUCCAAAUCACUAUUGAUAAGAGAAAUGCAAAUUAAACAUCUCUGAGUUGUGAAAUGACCUAAACAUUCAGGAGAGCAAUUUGGAACUAUGUUCAAAAGGCUAUAAAACUGUACAUAUUUUUUGACCCAGCAGUGCCAUUACUGGGUCUGUAUCCCAAGGAAAUCAUAAAGAAGGAAAAGGACACACAUUUGUAAAAAUGUUUGGAGCAGCUCUUUUUGUGGUAGCAAAGAAUUGGAAAAAGAGUUCAUUCCCAUCAGUUGGGGAAUGGCUGAGCAAGGUAAUGGAAUAUUACUGUUCUAUAAAAAAAAAAAAAAAAAAAAAAAAAAAAAAAAAAAGAUGAACACGAUGAUUAUAAAAUUAUAAAAUGGCCUGGAAAGAUUUACAUGAACUGAUACUGAGUGAAACAACAGGAACAGGAAUACAUUGUACACAAUAACAGCAAGAGUGUGCAAUGAUCAUCUCUGAAAGACUUAGUUCUUCUCAAUAGUUCAGUGAUCCAAAGCAAUCCCAAUUAAUCAAUUAAUAUUGGAUCGAAAAUGCCACUUGCAUCCAGAAAAAGAUGUAAGGAAACUGAAUGUAAAUCAAUACAUGCUGUGUUUACUUCUCUUUUCUGAUUUUUUUUCUCCUUUAUUUUUGCCUUUUGUUCUGAUUUUUCUCUCUUAUAUAUGAUUCAUAAAACAAUGUGUAUUAAAAAUAAACUUACUACAGUAAAAAUAAUGAUAUCUCCAACUAAUUAUGGUAUGAGCCAAGGAACUGACUAAAAAACAAAGUUCCUGACAAAGGGGUCCAGACCUAAACUGGCCUAGAGAG
Molecule: long non-coding RNA, 3670 nt
Organism: Antechinus flavipes (yellow-footed antechinus)
Lineage: Eukaryota; Metazoa; Chordata; Mammalia; Dasyuromorphia; Dasyuridae
Exons: 2
Source: RefSeq, a predicted model, not a curated record